Molecule: ribosomal RNA, 397 nt
Filed under: uncultured bacterium
Lineage: Bacteria
Description: partial 16S ribosomal RNA
Rfam family: Bacterial small subunit ribosomal RNA
Source: RNAcentral
AUACGUAGGGGGCGAGCGUUGUCCGGAAUGAUUGGGCGUAAAGGGCGCGUAGGCGGCCCGGUAAGUCUGGAGUGAAAGUCCUGUUUUUAAGAUGGGAAUUGCUUUGGAUACUGUCGGGCUUGAGUGCAGGAGAGGUAAGUGGAAUUCCCAAUGUAGCGGUGAAAUGCGUAGAGAUUGGGAGGAACACCAGUGGCGAAGGCGACUUACUGGACUGUAACUGACGCUGAGGCGCGAAAGUGUGGGGAGCAAACAGGAUUAGAUACCCUGGUAGUCCACACUGUAAACGAUGAAUGCUAGGUGUAGGGGGUAUCGACCCCUUCUGUGCCGCAGUCAACACAAUAAGCAUUCCGCCUGGGGAGUACGGCCGCAAGGUUGAAACUCAAAGGAAUUGACGGGG